This 1486-nucleotide ribosomal RNA is filed under the name Bacillus atrophaeus. RNAcentral describes it as "bacterial SSU rRNA". It matches the Rfam family "Bacterial small subunit ribosomal RNA". The record is from RNAcentral. Lineage: Bacteria; Bacillati; Bacillota; Bacilli; Caryophanales; Bacillaceae.
CUUGCUCCCUGAUGUUAGCGGCGGACGGGUGAGAAACACGUGGGUAACCUGCCUGUAAGACUGGGAUAACUCCGGGAAACCGGGGCUAAUACCGGAUGCUUGUUUGAACCGCAUGGUUCAAACAUAAAAGGUGGCUUCGGCUACCACUUACAGAUGGACCCGCGGCGCAUUAGCUAGUUGGUGAGGUAAUGGCUCACCAAGGCAACGAUGCGUAGCCGACCUGAGAGGGUGAUCGGCCACACUGGGACUGAGACACGGCCCAGACUCCUACGGGAGGCAGCAGUAGGGAAUCUUCCGCAAUGGACGAAAGUCUGACGGAGCAACGCCGCGUGAGUGAUGAAGGUUUUCGGAUCGUAAAGCUCUGUUGUUAGGGAAGAACAUCUGACGGAGAACGCCGCGUGAGUGAUGAAGGUUUUCGGAUCGUAAAGCUCUGUUGUUAGGGAAGAACAAGUGCCGUUCAAAUAGGGCGGCACCUUGACGUACCUAACCAGAAAGCCACGGCUAACUACGUGCCAGCAGCCGCGGUAAUACGUAGGUGGCAAGCGUUGCCGGAAUUAUUGGGCGUAAAGGGCUCGCAGGCGGUUUCUUAAGUCUGAUGUGAAAGCCCCCGGCUCAACGGGGAGGGUCAUUGGAAACUGGGGAACUUGAGUGCAGAAGAGGAGAGUGGAAUUCCACGUGUAGCGGUGAAAUGCGUAGAGAUGUGGAGGAACACCAGUGGCGAAGGCGACUCUCUGGUCUGUAACUGACGCUGAGGAGCGAAAGCGUGGGGAGCGAACAGGAUUAGAUACCCUGGUAGUCCACGCCGUAAACGAUGAGUGCUAAGUGUUAGGGGGUUUCCGCCCCUUAGUGCUGCAGCUAACGCAUUAAGCACUCCGCCUGGGGAGUACGGUCGCAAGACUGAAACUCAAAGGAAUUGACGGGGGCCCGCACAAGCGGUGGAGCAUGUGUUUAAUUCGAAGCAACGCGAAGAACCUUACCAGGUCUUGACAUCCUCUGACACCCCUAGAGAUAGGGCUUCCCCUUCGGGGGCAGAGUGACAGGUGGUGCAUGGUUGUCGUCAGCUCGUGUCGUGAGAUGUUGGGUUAAGUCCCGCAACGAGCGCAACCUUGAUCUUAGUUGCCAGCAUUCAGUUGGGCACUCUAAGGUGACUGCCGGUGACAAACCGGAGGAAGGUGGGGAUGACGUCAAAUCAUCAUGCCCCUUAUGACCUGGGCUACACACGUGCUACAAUGGACAGAACAAAGGGCAGCGAGACCGCGAGGUUAGCCAAUCCCACAAAUCUGUUCUCAGUUCGGAUCGCAGUCUGCAACUCGACUGCGUGAAGCUGGAAUCGCUAGUAAUCGCGGAUCAGCAUGCCGCGGUGAAUACGUUCCCGGGCCUUGUACACACCGCCCGUCACACCACGAGAGUUUGUAACACCCGAGUCGGUGAGGUAACCUUUAUGGAGCCAGCCGCCGAAGGUGGGACAGAUGAUUGGGGUGAAGUC